RNAcentral lists this ribosomal RNA (1385 nucleotides) under uncultured bacterium. RNAcentral describes it as "16S ribosomal RNA". It matches the Rfam family "Bacterial small subunit ribosomal RNA". The record is from RNAcentral.
AGAGUUUGAUCCUGGCUCAGGAUGAACGCUGGCGGCAUGCCUAAUACAUGCAAGUCGAACGAGGGUCCUUCGGGACUCGAGUGGCGAACGGGUGAGUAACACGUAGGGAACCUGCCCGUGCGACCGGGAGAACUUUCGGAAACGGAAGCUGAUACCGGAUAGGGACAGAGACGGCAUCGACUCUGUGUUAAAGGAGCUGAAAGGCUCCGCGCACGGAUGGACCUGCGGUGCAUUAGCUAGUUGGUGAGGUAACGGCCCACCAAGGCGACGAUGCAUAGCCGGCCUGAGAGGGCGGACGGCCACACUGGGACUGAGACACGGCCCAGACUCCUACGGGAGGCAGCAGUAGGGAAUUUUCGUCAAUGGGCGCAAGCCUGAACGAGCAAUGCCGCGUGAACGAGGAAGGUCUUCGGAUCGUAAAGUUCUGUUGAAGGGGAAAAAGAGCGGAGAGAGGAAAUGGUCUCCGAUUGAUAUUACCCUUCGAGGAAGUCACGGCUAACUACGUGCCAGCAGCCGCGGUAAUACGUAGGUGGCGAGCGUUAUCCGGAAUGAUUGGGCGUAAAGGGUGCGUAGGCGGCCUGCUAAGUCUGGAGUGAAAGGUACCGGCUCAACCGGUACAGGCUCUGGAAACUGGCGGGCUAGAGAGCAGGAGAGGGCGGUGGAACUCCAUGUGUAGCGGUAAAAUGCGUAGAUAUAUGGAAGAACACCAGUGGCGAAGGCGGCCGCCUGGCCUGUUACUGACGCUGAGGCACGAAAGCGUGGGGAGCAAAUAGGAUUAGAUACCCUAGUAGUCCACGCCGUAAACGAUGAGGACCAAGUGUUGGGGAAGACCCAGUGCUGCAGUUAACGCAGUGAGUCCUCCGCCUGGGGAGUAUGCACGCAAGUGUGAAACUCAAAGGAAUUGACGGGGGCCCGCACAAGCGGUGGAGUAUGUGGUUUAAUUCGAAGCAACGCGAAGAACCUUACCAGGCCUUGACAUAGGGUGCGAAGCUAUGGAGACAUAGUGGAGGUAAACAUCCAUACAGGUGGUGCAUGGUUGUCGUCAGCUCGUGUCGUGAGAUGUUCAGUUAAGUCUGGCAACGAGCGCAACCCUCGUGAUGUGUUACCAAUAUCGAGUUAGGGACUCACAUCAGACUGCCGGUGAGAAACCGGAGGAAGGCGGGGAUGACGUCAAAUCAUCAUGCCCCUUAUGGCCUGGGCUACACACGUACUACAAUGGCGGCGACAGAGGGCAGCGAGCCUGCGAAGGCAAGCGAAUCCCCAAAAAGCCGUCCCAGUUCGGAUUGGAGUCUGCAACCCGACUCCAUGAAGUUGGAAUCGCUAGUAAUCGCGGAUCAGCAUGCCGCGGUGAAUACGUUCUCGGGCCUUGUACACACCGCCCGUCA